RNAcentral lists this ribosomal RNA (460 nucleotides) under uncultured bacterium. RNAcentral describes it as "partial 16S ribosomal RNA". It matches the Rfam family "Bacterial small subunit ribosomal RNA", at positions 338 to 795 of the family's 1533-position model. The record is from RNAcentral.
CCUACGGGAGGCAGCAGUGAGGAAUAUUGGUCAAUGGACGAGAGCCUGAACCAGCCAAGUAGCGUGAAGGAUGAAUGCCCUAUGGGUUGUAAACUUCUUUUAUAAGGGAAUAAAACGAGGAACGUGUUCCUUUUUGCAUGUACUUUAUGAAUAAGCAUCGGCUAACUCCGUGCCAGCAGCCGCGGUAAUACGGAGGAUCCGAGCGUUAUCCGGAUUUAUUGGGUUUAAAGGGUGCGUAGAUGGUUUGUUAAGUCAGUUGUGAAAGUUUGUGGCUCAACCGUAAAAUUGCAGUUGAUACUGGCAGUCUUGAGUAUAGUUGAGGUAGGCGGAAUUCGUGGUGUAGCGGUGAAAUGCAUAGAUAUCACGAAGAACCCCGAUUGCGAAGGCAGCUUACUAAACUGUGACUGACACUGAUGCACGAAAGUGUGGGGAUCAAACAGGAUUAGAUACCCCUGUAGUC